RNAcentral lists this transfer RNA (74 nucleotides) under Candidatus Organicella extenuata. RNAcentral's name for it is "tRNA-Pro". It matches the Rfam family "tRNA". Rfam says of the family: Transfer RNA (tRNA) molecules are approximately 80 nucleotides in length. The record is from RNAcentral. Lineage: Bacteria; Pseudomonadati; Verrucomicrobiota.
CGGGAUAUAGCAUAGUCAGGUAGUGUGCUUGCUUUGGGAGCAAGAUGUCACAGGUUCGAAUCCUGUUAUCCCGA